Molecule: ribosomal RNA, 406 nt
Filed under: uncultured bacterium
Lineage: Bacteria
Description: partial 16S ribosomal RNA
Rfam family: Bacterial small subunit ribosomal RNA
Source: RNAcentral
AUUGAACGCUGGCGGCAGGCCUAACACAUGCAAGUCGAACGAGUGGCGGACGGGUGAGUAAUGUCUGGGAAACUGCCUGAUGGAGGGGGAUAACUACUGGAACCGGUGGCUAAUACCGCAUACCAUCAGAUGUGCCCAGAUGGGAUUAGCUAGUAGGUGGGGUAAAGGCUAAGAUGGGCGACGAUCCCGAGCUGGACUGAGAGGAUGACCAGCCACACUGGAACUGGGAGACGGGCCAGACUCCUACGGGAGGCAGCAUUGGGGAAUAUUGCACAAUGGGCGAAAGCCUGAUGCAGCCAGGCCGCGUGGGGGAAGAAGGCCUUCGGGUUGUAAAGCACUUUCUGCGAGGAGGCGUUACUCGCACAAGAAGCACCGGCUAACUCCGUGCCAGCAGCCGCGGUAAUAC